Molecule: transfer RNA, 69 nt
Filed under: Marmota monax (woodchuck)
Lineage: Eukaryota; Metazoa; Chordata; Mammalia; Rodentia; Sciuridae
Description: tRNA.Ala
Source: RNAcentral
GAUAGAGUGCUUGGUUGGUGGAGUGCUUGCCUCGCAUGCAGGAGGCCCUGGGUUCAAUCCCCAGUACCA